RNAcentral lists this long non-coding RNA (381 nucleotides) under Physcomitrium patens. RNAcentral's name for it is "long non-coding RNA (PPAT_LNC003184)". Lineage: Eukaryota; Viridiplantae; Streptophyta; Bryopsida; Funariales; Funariaceae. The record is from RNAcentral.
CAAUUCAGUUACAUAUCGUUUAUACCUACGAGAGUCAAUAAAAAUCCAUACAAUAUUCCAUGUGUCUCUUCUUGAACUAUAUAAGGCAGUGGACAUAUCAAGAAAAAAACAAGUUUUACCUCCUCCUAAAGAAGUAGACAAUAAUAAAGAGUUCAAAGUGGAAGAAGUCUUAGAUUCAAAGUGGUGCCAAAAUAAAUUAAAAUAUCUUAUCCAUUAGCGUGGAUAUGAUAUUAACGAACACACAUGGGAACUAGUAUAGAAUCUUACAAAUGAAACGAAGGCGGUAGGGGCUUUUUAUCCACAACAUCCAUCAAAAACAAGAUGAAAAUCUUCUUUAUAAAAAAAAUAAGAUCUAGGUAAGAUAACAUUCUACUUUCAAUA